Molecule: long non-coding RNA, 379 nt
Filed under: Ananas comosus (pineapple)
Lineage: Eukaryota; Viridiplantae; Streptophyta; Magnoliopsida; Poales; Bromeliaceae
Description: long non-coding RNA (ACOM_LNC013528)
Source: RNAcentral
GGGGUUGAGGAUGAAUGAUCACUACUAGAUAGACUUAGUAGUUGGGUUACAUUACAUGCUUUUAGCAUAGUGUGAGACAUGUAGUAUACGUGGUUGCCAUAUUAGAACUACAACAUUAUGUAUUGACAAAGGUUAACAACAUUAAACUAGUGUGAUUGGACUUAAUUGUAAUGAUAGAAUAGAUGUACAUUUUGGUUGACAUCAUGCUUAAUUGAGACACAGUAGACUAGCAUUUCAUUUAUGCUUUCUUUCAGCAGUUUAUGUAUAUGCUCCUUAUUGCUUUUAUUAUUAUCGUUACUUACCCUUGUUUUUGGGGCCUAGUGGAGCAAGAGCUGAGGUCAGUAAUUGCCCACUGGGAACUAUAAAUUAUAGUUCUCAC